Bacillus rossius redtenbacheri is the source of this 9632-nucleotide RNA transcript. It is a transcript of the gene named nucleoporin p58/p45, with no coding region annotated. Lineage: Eukaryota; Metazoa; Arthropoda; Insecta; Phasmatodea; Bacillidae. The transcript has 8 exons. The record is from RefSeq and is a predicted model, not a curated record.
AUGUAAGAAAAGAAGGCGGUAUUGAAUAAUUGCAUUGCUCCUUGGUUAUGUUAUAAAUAAAUCUAGUUUUUUUUUUUUGUGAUUAGUAGUUUGAAUGUAAAAAGAAACCAUGUCGGGUUUUAGUUUUGGGAAUACAGGGUUAGGAACAGGCUCAUCAUUUUCUUUUGGAUCAAGUCAGCCGGUGACCACGGCUUCCACCGGAGGACUGUUCGGGACGCCCACCACCGCACCCACGUUUGGUUCCGGUGCGACGCCGUUGUUCGGGUCAGCUGCGACUUCUCAGCCCUCCGGCGGGCUGGCCUUGAACGCAGGUCAGACUCCGGCGCUGACCUUCGGGGCCCCGGCAUCCACCGCAGCCAGCGGACUGAGCUUCAAUGCCCCGCAGCCCACUAACUUCCAGUUCUCGGCACCCACGACCACCACAGGGCUGUCGUUCGGCCCACCUGCCAGCACGGCCCCCGCCGGGUUCGCAAUGCCGGCCACGGGUCUCACGUUUGGGACACCGGCGACCUCGGCGAGCGGUGGGAUCAGGUUUGGCACUCCUGCUCAGGCAACAACUGCCACUCCCACCCCCGGGACGCUGAACCUGGGAGCUGGAAGCACGGGAGGAGGCCUGUUCGGGGCCCCUGCUGCUACCUCUGCGUCCGGGAUCUCACUCGGUUUCGGCACCACCCAGGCAGCAGCAUCAACGGCUCUUUCAGGGCUGACGUUUGGCUCCACCACGCCAGCCACGAGUGGAGCCGCCCUCUCCUUCCAGGGCCUGGGCGCAGGGAAGCCCCUUGGGGGCUCCUUGUUCUCCACACCCACCACGUCCGCCGGACUCAGCUUGGGCACCGCCAGCACCACAGCGGGGCUCGGUCUGGGUGCCACCAGCACUGCCCCCAGGCUCAGUCUGGGUGCCACCAGUACUGCCCCCGGGCUUGGUCUGGGCACCACCAGCACUGCCCCCGGACUCGGUCUGGGGACCACCACCACUGCCCCCGGGUUAGGUCUGGGCACCACCAGUACUGCCCCCGGGUUAGGUCUGGGCACCACCAGUACUGCCCCCGGACUGGGUCUGGGCGCCACCAGCACUGCCCCCGCACUCGGUCUAGGCACCACCAGCACGUCCAUCGGGUUUGGACUGGGUUCCACCAGUACGUCUGGCGGCUUUGGCUUGUUCGGCCAGACGUCGAAGCCCGCUGCUAGCGUUGCAGCCCUUGGGACGGCUCCAGCCACCACCAUAGCAUCCGUCGGCCUGGGAGGUGUUGAAGCAAAGUCGGGCUUGGCUGGAGUUGGCAAUCAGCGUCAAGAGAGUAAAGCUGUUAAAGAAAAUGAAAUCCCGGUUGAAAUAAUUCAAACCAUAGAUGCUUUCAAGAACUUCGUGAAGGUGCAGAAGGGCCUGAGCUCGGAGGUAGCGCGCGGCUCCGCGCAGCCUCUGCACAAGGUGGAGGAGGACAUAGAGGCGAUGAAGAAGGUGCUGUCGAGCCUCGGCGCGGACCUCCGGAGGCACACGGCCCUCGCAGACAACCUCAAGUAUGACACGGCCAAGUGCCUGCAGAAUGCGGAGAUGGCGCAGCGCACCCAGGACAUGUCCCCAGAGCUGCAGUACAACAACACGGCGCCACAGCAGUACUUCGAGGAGCUGGUGUCCAGGUUUGAGGACGAGGUCGCCAGGUUCACGGUCGCUAUCGACGAGGCGGAGAAGCACCUGCACUCCCUGGCCCAGCCCCGCGCUCUCUCCCCGGACGAGCUGACGUCGGCGAUGCAGCGCAUCCACCACACGUUCGUGUUCCUGGCUGGACGUCUCCAGGCCGUGCACAACUCGGUGGAGAUGCAGAAGCAGCAGUACCUGAACCUGCGCAAGUACUUCCUCAAGGACGCCACCAACGUGUUCGACCAGCAGCCGCUCGAGACGUCGGCCGGACCCCAGCGGCCCCGGUCCGCCGCGGCCACCCUGCCCGGGCCGUCGCCGUUCUCGGGUGUCGGCAGCCAGAUGGGCUUUGGGCUUAUGUUCUCGACGGCCUCUGACACUCCGUCCACUCUGCCAUCGACUAACCCCUUAGGUAAAUAGUGGUAACUUGGUAAGCGUGGUUCAAAGGACCAAACCUAGUAGUGUCUAGUUUGUGGUUUCUGUUCUCGGCAUGUUCGGCUUUUUAGAGGUCAGCAUGCGGUUGGUUGUGAGUUCGUUGCUGAAACUGAAGUCCUGCCAUUAUUUCUGCGGCUUUUUUUUUUCACCCCUUCAGUUUUACUGUGGAAAGUAUAAUUUAUAAACUUGUAUAAAUAUGUAUUAUGCUUUGUACCCAACUCGCUACUUUCCUGCCAUGUGUUUUAAAUAAUAGUAACGUUGCAGACAUGCAUAGAAACAAAUUACAGCAAGAAUGAGCUUACGACUGGUACAAGCAUCUAAAGCUAUUUGAUCUGUUGCAAUAUAUGUUGUUUUGAUGCAGGAAGGUAAAUGAAAUUAAAAUUUAAUUGUAAUUUUUGCCACAGACAUUAUCUUAUCAUAUUUUCAUUAUUCAUUUACUGCUGCUUUACUUAAUGAAACAUCCGAGCCAAGUCAUUUGUUGAUUUUUUUUUUGUGCAAAUCUGUUUAACAGCUUUAAUUAGACUAGAUCGUUUUUAAAAAUAAUUCUUAGAAUAUUUGCUUAAGUAAUCACUUCAGUAAUCGUGACUAUUUCUGUGUCCCUUUUUUGUUGCAUAGUACAGCAAGUCCUCGAUUAUCACACAUUUUACGUUCCCAAAAAUUGUUCGUUAAUUAUUAAUCACGUUUCCCCAUAAGGAACAAUGUAAUGUUCUGGGUUAUGUCUUCCACAAAUUUUGCAUCAUUUCUCAAAAAUGGUGAACUAUAAAGAAAUCAUUAACAAAAUUAAGUUGGCAACUGUAGUAAAAUUCGUUUAAGAUUUUUUUAAUGGACUGUCUAUACACAGGCUAUUCAAGAAGUACCAACCCUCACAAUUCAUAACUGGUGCAUUAUAACAAAUAUCCGCAUUAAUCGAGGACUUACUACGUUGGUUCAACUCGUAAGUUUCAAGUUUUUAAAUAUAUGUUUAAACAUUUUAUUUUUUAUUUAUGGCUAUUCAUUUUUUUUAAUGAGUGUUUUAGGUGGGCUUUUUUUAUUAUUAGUUGCAUGUUCUGCAUCUUACAAAAGUUACUAAAUAGUGAUUGAAUUUCAUUACUAUUUUUGUGAUUCCUUCUCACAUGUGUUUUGAAUGAAUAGGAAUAGAAAUUUAUGUAAUUUAUUAACUCAAUUUUACAGAAGAUUAUAAAGUAAUGAAAUAUUUUUUUAUGAAAUGGUUAGUAAAAAAAUUUGUCAAUUAUAAAUAUGUACAUACCAAUAAAUGAAUUGUUACCGUAUUAUGUUAUUUUUCAAGGAAGCAAUAGAUAUAAUUUCAUAAUGGCAAAUUUUACAAGCCAGCAUUCCUUUUACAUAAAAAAAAUGUGUUUUUAUGAACAAAAUAAAGAAAAUCGCCCAAAUUACCCAGUUUAUGAACAUGUAUCUGUAAUAGGGCUGUUCAAAUACCAACUAUUGGUCAUACUAUAUUAAAAAUUGGCACAACAUUUUUUUGAUAACGGUAUUGGAGAAUUUUAUUACAUGUAUUUUAUUUUUAAAUCUAAAUUCAAAGUAAGUUUAUUGAAAAAUUGUGUGUAUCAUCAUUUAUCUUCACUUAAGAUUUGCCUUUAAAGCAUAGUUAAAUUCAUUCUAAGAAGAUAAAUAUAUGUACUUUUAAACCUAUAACAAAUAAACAUAACAUUCUGUGUACUGUGCAACCGCACAUCCAAAAAAUGUGGUUCAGUUUGCGCUGUUUUGAAGUAAUGACGCGAACAAAUUACAGCAUUAUUUGAAGUAGCGAAGUCAUAGAUUCAAAGGAGUGCUUUUUUCCUUUUACGUGAAUUUUAUUUCCGUGUCCUUACAAUGACAACAGCACUUGUGUAGCAUUGAAUACAUUGAAACAAAUCAAUGUGACGAAUCAACAAUAGGGGUGCGAUGCUUGCGUUGUGAGGGGGGGAAAUGGAGGGAUAGUUACUUGCAGCAAGCAGCCGUGCCGCUGGCUAGCGUACACGUGAGGAGCUUCAAGCAAUGUUGCGCGAUAGAAUCGGCCAGCGAACCUUUACGUAAAUACCCAAUCUCUAUCAGUAGGGCCAAUGAAAAAUGGUAAAUAAAAAAGGCCCAUUUCGGUGAAUAAAAAGAGUUAUUUCGGUGCCAAAUUUCGGUGGAAAAAAAAUUGUUUAGUUAGAAAAAAUAACUAUUUCGUCAUUAUAAUUUUAUACACAUGUAUAUGUUUGAUGGAAUAAUUGUUUUAUUUGGUCGAAAUUUAUCAAAAACAAUGUUUUGAAGUACAUUCACAUCUAAAAUUUAGCACGCUGCAUUUGUAAUUAAAAUUCUCAAGAUUACAUACAAAAAAAUUGGAAACUGAUCAUAAACGUUAGUGGCUCAAGUCCAUUUUGACUACCUAUCUCUGAAAAUCAGCUAUUAUAUGUUUCCUGCAAACUAGUCCCCACCAAAACACUGUACUUAUUCAACAGUACAGAGUAUUUUUUUUUUUUGUUUACUUUUUCACCGCCUCAACUGCGUGUGCGGUAUUUGUUCAUGUAUAUGUUGGCACUCUUGGCCGGCAUUUAUUUUCGUGCAUUGCCGUGACAACUACGAAAAUAAAUAGUCGCCUCGGCUAGGACGCCCAAAUACAACAAUUAACAUUUUGAAAGUUAUGAUUUGAUUGGCUAAUGUGGAAGUGACGCUAUUUUUCUGGACUGCGUUUGGCCGAUUCAGAGAAAGGAACAAAGAUUGAGUUAAGGCCUAUCGACGAUUGCGUCACCAGACGCAUUUGCUGUCGGCAAAAUAAUGUCAUUUUUGCCGUUUUAUGGCCUUCUACGUCUCGUAGGAACGUGUGCGACGACGGAGACUGAGUAGGCGUACGUCUGGAUGUAAUAAUUUUCAUUUGUGAAAUAUAUGGUUCUAGAGUAACUUGACGCUUAGUUCCAGAACCCGAUGCUUUGUUCACCUUGUGCGAUGCUCGAAAUUUACAGUGUUUUCACACGUGUAUUUUAUUUUCCAGUCGACUUGCACAUUACAGAACUUGCACAUCAUGAUGCCUUUUUCUUUACUGAUUACGUAAAAUCCUUCAGCUCUUUCGAAAACACAACUUUCGACAUUUUAUACGCUUAUCCAGUGACCACGGUAAUAUGACCAAAAUGACACAAAAACUUUCAACGGAAAACGAUCAUAGAUGCGGAAGAGAGACAUAUUGCAUCCACUCGGAAAUAAAGAACUUAAACUCGACAGACACGCACUCGUGAAAACAAAAUCAUAGAACAUUUCGACACUCGUAACUACCAACGCCAUCUGUGAUUUGUCCACCAGUAGCUAAAGUGAUAAUGUUUAUUGCCACGCUCUACUCUAUGGGUGCUAGAGAAAAACAAAAGCAAAGAUGGCGUCUCACAUAUAACCUCUUGGAAUAAUAAACGUUUUGUGCAAGUUCCAGAAUGAUUCAACGUGAUUUUUCGCGAUAAAAAAGGUUAAUUUCGCGCGAAUAUCGCAAUUUCGUCAUAUUUCGUGAAAAACUACGGAUUUCGCGCAUCACAGCAAAUUUCGUUAAAACGAAAUGCAGUAUAUUAACGUCUUAUCACUACCAAGUAAGGUUAUUUGUAUUACACAUCAUGUGCAAGUGAUUUUUUUAAAAUUUCGCGAUUUCGUCAUUAACGAAAUUUGACUACCCCUAUCUAUCAGUAAAGUAUGAGUCAUUGAUAAACCUAUUGGGGGGGGGGGGGUAGUUUCCAUGGAACCAGGGAAAAUAUUUUUAAAAAAAUUAGUAGAAAAUUGUAAAAAAAAAAAAAAAAAAGGAGUUUUAGACUUUUUUUUUUACAGUGUGAGCUCUAUUCUUUUGUGGAUGUCACAACUCAAGGGGUGAGGGUCAUUGAGUUUGAUCCCAACGCCUCAGCACAACUGAUAUUUAUGAGCACUGUCUGUACCUGUGUGAUUCGGAGAUCCUGUCACCUUAAGCCUGUGUGUGCGUAGUUAUUCAAAACAAAACCUUAUCAUCGUACAAAUUGGUGUUUCAUGUGGAAUUAAAGAAUACAGAUCAGAAUGCAGGAAAUUGUAAAAAAAAUUUAAGUAUGCGUGUAAUUAUGGAGGUUCCUCUGUAGUUUCUAGCGGUAUGUAGUUAAACUUGGUGAGUUUUGACCCAGUAUGGCAUUUUCUCUCCCCCUUCUGCAGACAUUUCCCGUUCUUAGCUCAUGCAUUCCUAAGCUCGAGAUUACAAUUUGUUCCUCUGUGUCAGUCCAGUGUUCAGAUUACAUUUCCACUUUGCGAACAAGUUGUGCCUGGUGUGUGUUUUUUUCACCAUUCGAUGUGCUUUGACACGUAAAAACCUGAUAGAACUCAAUUAAUUGAAAACUCUUAAAUAUUGAUUCAUUGAAGAUACUACACUGUUAAUUGAUGCCAGGAUUAUUUUCCAUCUCAAUAUUUUUUCUGUCAUUGCUAAAAUAGGGUAUGUGCCAUACUUCUAUCAGGUCAUGACUAAGUGAAAGUGAGCCUUAACAGACCCAUGGUUGGCAGUUUCCUGCUCAGCAGUAGACAUGUGGUCUAGAACUACUCAGUGUUUUAGCAGAUGCCUGCGAAAAACUGUUUAACAAAGCAAAAGCAAUGUCUACUAUUUUUUAUAUAUGUAUUAGAGAACAUUAAUCCUCGCCAUUUGUUGAGAUGCUAAGAGAAAGAUGGCUUAUAAACUAAUUUUUUAAAACAAAAUCUGAGUUCAAGAUUGUAUUGGAACCAGUGCACAUGUUUAGAAGUUGGGAGCGCUUACCUCUGUGUCUAUGCCAUUGGUACCAGGUUUUCAGUUAGAGUGGCACGCAUGAACGUUUUGAUGCAAGGGAUCUGCUUUGCAAUGAACCUACAGCUGUGUUUAGCCUUUGUUAAAAUCAGUUUUUUUUAUUAUUAUUUAUGUUUAUGUUUAAGACACUGUGAGAUUGUUAGGACUUAAAAACUCGCACACAGGUAGUCCAGUCACCUGUGUUGGUAUCAAACACAGGGCGGUGCAAGAUUAGGCCUUGUUUCAGACCGAGUGGUUAAUUAGAAAGCCAUCACUGAUGAAUAUGAUUGUUCUGUAUAAUCUCAAGUGAACUAAUUUAAUGAAUUAAUAAAUAUGUAUACACACAUUAUGUAGGUCAUAGGUAAUUAUAAUGGCCAUUAAAAUUUUUGAAAAAAAUUACUAUUGUUGGGGUUAAGGUCUGGCCACCCUAUACACUAUACAUUUAUUACAACCUAUAAACUGAAUUUAUAAUGUGCUAGCAAGGAAAUAAUGAAUAUUUUAAAUGUUUUAGAGCAUUUUUUUGAAUAACUUUCUGUAACUAUUCUAUUCUAACCUUAACAAUAACAAUACGUAGUAUUUUUGAACAAUUUUAAUAGCUUAUUUUAGUUUAUUUAUGUUUUCUUUAUUAUUUUGCUAUACUUUAUCUAUGACCUAUUUAAUGUGUGUAUACAUAACUAUAAAUUUGUGAUAUUUUACUUGAGAUUAUACAGAACAAACACUUAUGACGUCUAAACAUUCAUCAGUUUGAGCAUUUUAAAUAUUUAUUAGCUUCAGUAAUAUCCCCCAUUGAACGUAGUCAUAUAGAAUCAUAGGUGUGUUAAACAAUUUUUAUGGAAUUUGGAUGGAAACAUGGAAUGAAAAUAUGCUGAGGAAAUCCUGUUGUGGCACAUUGUUUUUCAGUUUUUAUGGUGCUUCGUUAAUUUUGUAUACUAUGGUUAUAGUAUGAAUGGGUUAAUUAUGAGAAAUUGGAAUAAUGAUUUUGACAAAUUUGUAAUUUUUACAGUAAAUUAUUUUUGAAAAAAAUUGAAUGCAAUAAUUAAAUAUUGAACUUUUUAUUUUAUAGAUUAAAAAACUCCAAAAUAUGUAGACCAGAAUGAUUCAUCGAAGCUUUAGAAAUUUGUUUUUGACAAGUGUGAAAAGUAUUAAGAUGUUUGGACGGAUUUGCCAAAUAAUUGUUCACAUUUGUAACUAUUAAGUAAUACAGAUUUUUGUAAAUCAUUAGCACACUUGGUUCAAUAAAUCACCAAUAUUUAUUUAUUACAGGUUUAGUUUUAAACAACUAUCAAAAAUGUUCUGCUCUACAUUUAAUUUAAAUGUCACUACGGUUUUGUUUUUCAAAUAAUUCUUUUUUUUAGCGGUGUUGAAAUAAGUACUAAAAUGUUAUUAAUGGUAAGAGUUGAAACAAUACUCCUCCACAAAAGAAAAUGUGAAUUAAAGUGCAAUAAUUUCAUUUGUUUCAACGGUUUAUAAUUCUGAGUUCAUCACAAGAACACUCCAGUGUGACCUUCACGAGUGAGAAUCAGCAUGGAGACCAGUCUUGAGCUUGGGAGGUUUUGGAGGUUUAGAAUAAUAAUUAUUCUCACAUGCUGGAAGUACUGUUAUGCAAGGUACAAGAUAAAAAAAAUGGCAUCAAGUACACCUAUUAUCUUUACUUGCAGUACAAGUAGUGCUUCAUUAACCACUACUUUGUCAAGUAAAACUUUUUUUAACAUGAAUUUAUCACUCAUAUAAAUGAGGCUUAUAUCAAAUUAAGCACUACUUUACAAAGCUAAAUAAUCCUCCAAUUAUGAAAUCCACUCAUAGUAAAUUAAUUUAGAUGUUGACUUGGCAAAAUAAUUUUUGGUAUUCAUACAAAAGGUGACUCAAUACAUGGUGUGACUUGGUUGUCACACCUAUAAACUGAAUAGUUUCGCCAUGCGGCCCACCACAGUUACCUACAGUUAAGUCGUGGAGAGAGUGGCCAGAUCCCUCACAUUCCACUGAGAUGGACAAGAUUCCCAGCUGUUAAACCUGUGGUGUUUCAUAUAUAGGAAGCACUGCAGAUACUGUGGGCCGGUGGCAUGCCAUUUCCCCCACCAUUCAUCGAUUCUAAUGAUAGCCAUGUAGAAUCCAUUUAUUUUACAUGUACUUGUUAAACUAUCUCGUAACUUUGUGUGAACUUGAAAUAAUCACUUGUAAAUGCUGUGAACUAGUUCAUAAUUGGCUUCUGAAGUUAUUCUUAGUGAGGUUAAUGAAAGGCACAAUCGGUGUUUGAUUUUAACGCCUGUUCACCAGCAAUGACAGGUAAAUUUUCAUCCCGACAGAUGAGGAGUGGAAGCCUGUCAUUUAGGAGACAAAACACCGCACUGUUGCUUGCUUCUCCAGCCAUUUGAGUGGCUUUGGCAACUAGGAUAGUUGAAUGGCCUUAUGCCAGAGUGAACCAUUAACCAAAUUUUUAAAAUGUGGAUUAAUAUAUGUGCAUGUUCAGUAUAUGUGCAUGUUCAGUAUUUCAUGAUCUUUCUUAUGCACAGAGAACUAUGAUCCACUUCAGUAGGGGAGUUGGUAAUGUUGUAGUUUUGUUGUGGCAUAUGGUUGGUAUACCUGUAUUUAGUCCGCCAAAGUGAACUAUAGACCACAUCAAGAUGGCAUCUAAAGGACACAGUUCAAAAAGGUCAAGAUGUAAUACUGAUACAUUUUGUUGCAGUAGUAGUGAUAGCGAAGUGAGUGAUAUCAGCAAUGGAUCAUCUGACAACUAUAUACCGAGUUUUGAGUCAGAAACACCAUCCACAGAUGCAGAAACUACACAUGUAAAGGAAUCCCCCAAAAAGAGAAGAAAAGGGAAUCCACAAAAAUGGAAGAAGAAUA